CUGACGCUGAGGGAGGGGAAAGCGUGGGGGAGCGAAACAGGAUUAGAUACCCUGGUAGUCUCACGCCGUAAACGAUGAGUGCUAAGUUGUUAGGGGGGUUUCCGCCCCUUAGUGCUGCAGCUAACGCAUUUAAGCACUCCGCCUGGGGAGUACGGUCGCAAGACUGAAACUCAAAGGAAUUUGACGGGGGCCCGCACAAGCGGUGGAGCAUGUGGUUUUAAUUCGAAGCAACGCGAAGAACCUUACCAGGUCUUGACAUCCUCUGACAAUCCUAGAGAUAGGACGUCCCCUUCGGGGGCAGAGUGACAGGUGGUGCAUGGUUGUCGUCAGCUCGUGUCGUGAGAUGUUGGGUUAAGUCCCGCAACGAGCGCAACCCUUGAUCUUAGUUGCCAGCAUUCAGUUGGGCACUCUAAGGUGACUGCCGGUGACAAACCGGAGGAAGGUGGGGAUGACGUCAAAUCAUCAUGCCCCUUAUGACCUGGGCUACACACGUGCUACAAUGGACAGAACAAAGGGCAGCGAAACCGCGAGGUUAAGCCAAUCCCACAAAUCUGUUCUCAGUUCGGAUCGCAGUCUGCAACUCGACUGCGUGAAGCUGGAAUCGCUAGUAAUCGCGGAUCAGCAUGCCGCGGUGAAUACGUUCCCGGGCCUUGUACACACCGCCCGUCACACCACGAGAGUUUGUAACACCCGAAGUCGGUGAGGUAACCUUUUAGGAGCCAGCCGCCGAUAGGUGGGACAGAUGACUGGG
Molecule: ribosomal RNA, 751 nt
Filed under: Musa acuminata AAA Group (dessert banana)
Lineage: Eukaryota; Viridiplantae; Streptophyta; Magnoliopsida; Zingiberales; Musaceae
Description: bacterial SSU rRNA
Rfam family: Bacterial small subunit ribosomal RNA
Source: RNAcentral